UCUGGAAGGCAAGGGUAGAGGAUGGCUGCCUGAAGAAGUGCCCCUGCGCUACCAGCGUUGAGAGGGUGCUAGGGCUAUGAGGGAACUAGCCCAGGGAAAAUAAGGAGCAGGUUGGGGAAAGGCAGUAGGUGGCUGUUGGCUAUAGGGUCCCUGGCUUGGGUACCAGAGUAGUGAAUGGGCCUGGGUGGUGCCUCCCCACCUUGCACCCCAGUUGACAAUGAGGAGAGUGGCCAGUAUCCAGACUGUAGUUUGCCCCUGAGGCAAGGGGCUGGAUCUUGGACUGCAGUUGGCUGCUAAGGCAAGUGGUGGGACUAAGGACUAUCAGACCCCUGGAAGGAGGGGAGAAUGCAGAGUGGGGCACAGCUGGAGGGCUGUGCCCAGAAGAUGCUGCAGUCUGGGAAGCAAUGUGGGUCCAAAGAGUGGAAACAGCAGUGAUGGUGGAUCUCUUCCUGGAGACUUUCAAACAAAAUGGAAAUGUUUGGUUCUACAUGGUGUACUAUGGGUGUUUUAUUAUUGAAGACAGAUGAAGGAAGUGCACCUUGUACUUGGAACGGAAAGAGUGCCUGCUGGAGUCGUGAUUUGUGUCUCCACUUCUGUAGAAUCUCCACUUCUGUAUAAAAGUCACACGAGUGAGUUUCUAGCCCUUAUGGUUGUGGAAGGAAAUA
Dermochelys coriacea (leatherback sea turtle) is the source of this 665-nucleotide long non-coding RNA. RefSeq lists it as uncharacterized. NCBI's taxonomy places the organism in Eukaryota, Metazoa, Chordata, Testudines, Dermochelyidae. The record is from RefSeq and is a predicted model, not a curated record. The transcript has 3 exons.